AUUGAACGCUGGCGGCAUGCCUUACACAUGCAAGUCGAACGGUAACAGGUCUUCGGAUGCUGACGAGUGGCGAACGGGUGAGUAAUACAUCGGAACGUGCCCGAUCGUGGGGGAUAACGCAGCGAAAGCUGUGCUAAUACCGCAUACGAUCUACGGAUGAAAGCGGGGGAUCGCAAGACCUCGCGCGGACGGAGCGGCCGAUGGCAGAUUAGGUAGUUGGUGGGAUAAAAGCUUACCAAGCCGACGAUCUGUAGCUGGUCUGAGAGGACGACCAGCCACACUGGGACUGAGACACGGCCCAGACUCCUACGGGAGGCAGCAGUGGGGAAUUUUGGACAAUGGGCGCAAGCCUGAUCCAGCCAUGCCGCGUGCAGGAUGAAGGCCUUCGGGUUGUAAACUGCUUUGUACGGACGAAAAGACUCUCUCUAAUACAGGGGUGAAUGACGGUACCGUAAGAAUAAGCACCGGCUAACUACGUGCC
RNAcentral lists this ribosomal RNA (481 nucleotides) under uncultured bacterium. RNAcentral's name for it is "bacterial SSU rRNA". It matches the Rfam family "Bacterial small subunit ribosomal RNA", at positions 30 to 509 of the family's 1533-position model. The record is from RNAcentral.